AUCUUCAUGAAACUUGGUCAGAAGAUUUGUCCUAAUGAUAUCUUGGAUUAGUUCAAAAAUAGUUUCGUUUGCUUAAAAAACAUGGCCACCAGGGGGCGGGGCAUUUUUCCUAAUAUGGUUAUGUAUCAUGCUUUACUAAAACAUUGUAAACACUCUGUAGGCCACAUUUAUUUUCCGAUUAUUAUGAAACUUGGUCAGAUGAUUUGUCCUAAUGAUAUCUUGGAUGAGUUCAAAAAUGGUUCUAGUUGGUGGAAAAACAUGGCCACUAAGGGGGCGUGGUAUUUUUCCUUAUAUGGCUAAAGUAAAACCCUGUUAAAACUCUAGAAGCCAUAUUUAUUGUACGAUCAUCAUGACACUUUGUCAGAAGAUUUGUCCCAAUGAUAUUUGGACAAGUUUGAAAUUGGUUCCAGUUGCUAAGAAAAACAUGGCCACCAGUGGGCGGGGGCAUUUUUCCUUAUAUGGACUUAUGAAUCUUCUUGAAACUUUGUCAGUAUAUUAGUUUAAAUGAUAUCUUGGAUGUGUUUUUCACGUUGACAUUUGAAGCUUUAACUUUGUAUGAUUCUAAAUAUGUGUCAAUGCUGUCAGUUGAAUUUUGAAAUAUGAAGUUUUACAUUUUUUGUAGAUUAAAUAAUUUGUAAAAUGUUGCAGUUUCGUCAAUCAGUUUUAUAAGAUAUUGAGCUUUAGUUAUGAUGCAGAUUGUAAGAUUCUUAAUAUCUUUCAAUAUUGUGGAUAAGUUUUUGAGAUAUCAAGCUUUGAGUUUUAUGCAAAUUGUAUGAUUUUAAAAUGUUUUAAUGGUGUUGAUCAGUGUAAUGAAGAUUGCAUAAUUUUUAUGUUUUAAUUCUGUCUAUUGGUUUUCAAAAUGAAAGACUUUGAUUUUGUAAGUGCACUUUUAUCUCCUGAAAGAUUCUUUUCUAGUGUUUAGUUUAUAUUUUAAGGCUGUUUGCAAACUCGAAGUGAAAACAGUUCUAUUACAAUUUGGUAAGGACAUGACAUUGCAUAUCUGAUUUUAAAAUGUACUUUGCUGGCAACGUGUAAUUUUCUGAAAUGUCUUAGUAAGACUGUUGUUUGCAAUCAAAAGGUCUGUGCUUCAAAUACAGGGUAAUGCAUGUUUUUUGUCCAAAUUUAUGGCGAUUCAGACAUUGUUCUAUGUAAAUUUGGGGUUUGCUUGAAGGUUCAGUCUAUUUUUAUGUCCCUCACUAUAGUAGUGGGGGACAUAUUGUUUUUGUCCUGUCUGUUGGUUGGUUGGUUGAUCUGUUUACGCCAACUUUAACAUUUGCAAUAACUUUUGCAAUAUUGAAGAUAGCAACUUGAUAUUUGGCAUGCAUAUGUAUCUCAUAGAGCUGCACAUUUUAAUUUUCUGAAAGGUCAAGGUCAGAGGUCAAAUAUAUGUGGCCAAAAUCGCUCAUUUUAUGAAUACUUUUGCAAUAUUGAAGAUAGCAACUUCAUAUUUGGCAAGCAUGUGUAUCUCAUGGAGCUGCACAUUUUGAGUGGUGAAAGGUCAAGGUCAUAAUUCAAUGUCAUAGGUCGAAUAUAUGGCUUCAAAGCGGCGCAGUAAGGGGGAUUGUGUUUUACGAACACAGCUCUUGUUGUUAACUGCCUUUUUAGUCCCUUACCAGUGUUUCACUAAAGUCCGUGUACUUUGGACUCAUUUCAAGUUGACAUUUGAAGCUUUAACUUUGUAUGAUUCUAAAUAUGUGUCAAUGCUGUCGGUUGAAUUUUGAAAUAUGAAGUUUUUCAUUUUUUGUAGAUUAAAUAAUUUGUAAAAUGUUGCAGUUUAGUCAAUCAGUUUUAUAAGAUAUUGAGCUUUAGUUAUGAUGCAGAUUGUAAGAUUCUUAAUAUCUUUCAAUAUUGUGGAUAAGUUUUUGAGAUAUCAAGCUUUGAAUUUUAUGCAAAUUGUAUGAUUUAAAAUGUUUUAAUUUGUUGAUCAGUGUACUGAAGAUUGUAUACUUUUUAUAUGUUAUAAUUCUGUCUAUUGGUUUUCAAAAUGAAAGACUUUGAUUUUGUAAGUGCACUUUUAUCUCAUUAUGCCCCCCUUCGAAGAAGAGGGGGUAUAUUGCUUUGCUCAUGUCGGUCGGUCUGUCGGUAUGUCAGUUUGUCGGUCCGUCCACCAGGUGGUUGUCAGACGAUGACUCAAGAACGCUUGGGCCUAGGAUCAUGAAACUCCAUAGGUACAUUGAUCAUGACUCGCAGAUGAUCCCUAUUGAUUUUGAGGUCAAAGGUCAAGGUCACGGUGACCCAAAAUAGUAAAAUGGUUUCCGGAUGAUAACUCAAAAAUUCAUACGCCUAGGAUCAUGAAACUUCAUGGCUAGAUUGAUCAUGACUUGCAGAUGACCCCUAUUGAUUUUGAGGUCACUAGGUCAAAGGUCAAGGUCACGGUGACCCGAAAUAGUAAAAUGGUUUUCAGAUGAUAACUCAAGAACGCAUAUGCCUAGGAUCAUGAAACUUCACAGGUAGAUUGAUCAUGACUCACAGAUGACCCUUAUUGAUUUUGAGGUCACAAGGUCAAGGUCACGGUGACCCGAAAUAGUAAAAUGAUUUUCGGAUGAUAACUCAAGAACGCUUUUGCCUAGGAUCAUGACACUUCAUAGGUACAUUGAUCGUGACUCACAGAUGACCCCUAUUGAUUUUCAGGUCACUAGGUCAAAGGUCAAGGUCACAGUGACAAAAAACGUAUUCACACAAUGGCUGCCACUACAACGGACAGCCCAUAUGGGGGGCAUGCUUGUUUUACAAACAGCCCUUGUUAAAGAUUCUUUUCUAGUGUUUAGUUUAUAUUUUAAGGCUGUUUGCAAACUCGAAGUGAAAACAGCUCUAGUACAAUUUGGUAAGGACAUGACAUUGCAUAUCUGAUUUAAAAAUGUACUUUGCUGGCAACGUGUAAUUUUCAGAAAUGUCUUAGUAAGUAAGACUGUUGUUUGCAAUCAAAAGGUCUGUGCUUCAAAUCCAGGAAAAUGCAUGUUUUUUGUCCAAAUUUAUGUCAAUUCAGACAUUGUUCUGUGUAAAUAUGGGGUUUGCUUGUAGGAUCAGUCUAUUUUUAUGUCCCCCACUAUAGUAGUGGGGGACAUGUUGUUUUUGCUCUGUCGGUCUGUUGAUUGGUUGGUUGGUCUGUUUAUGCCAACUUUAACAUUUUGCAAUAUUGAAAGUAGCAACUUGAUAUUUGGCAUGCAAAUGCAUCUCCUGAAGCUGCACAUUAUCAUUGGUGAAAGGUCAAGGUCAUCCUUCAAGGUCAGAGGUCAAAUAUAUGUGGCCCAAAUCGCUUAUUUUAUUAAUACUUUUGCAAUAUUGAAGAUAGCAACUUGAAAUUUGGCAUGCAUGUGUAUCUCAUGGAGCUGCAAAUUUUGAGUGUUGAAAGGUCAAAGUCAUCCUUCAAGGUCAGAGGUUAAAUAUAUGUGGCCCAAAUCGCUUAUUUUAUGAAUACGUUUGCACUAUUGAAGAUAGCAACUUGAUAUUUGGCAUGCAUAUGUAUCUCAUAGAGCUGCACAUUUUGAGUGGUGAAAGGUCAAGGUCAUCCUUCAAGGUCAAAUAUAUGGGUCAAAAUUGCUCAUGUUAUGUUACUUCUGCAAUAUUGAAGCUAGCAAUUUUAUAUUUGACAUGCAUGUGUAUCUCAUGGAGCUGCACAUUUUGAGUGGUGAAGGGUCAAGGUCAUCCUUCAAGGUCAAACGUUAUAUACGGGGCAUUGGGUUUCACAAACGCAUCUUGUUGUGUAUGUAAUUAAUUUUGCUUAAUUUUUGUGAUCCCCCGCCAACAGCGGAGGGAUAUUAAUUUGGCAUUGUCCGUCUUUCCGUCUGUCCGUCCGGCACUUUUGUGUCCGGAACCAUAUCUUGGAAGUGCUUUAGCAGAUUUCAUUGAAACUUGGUACGAGUAUAUAUAUAUGGAUAAGAGGAUGAUGCACGCCAAAUGGCAUUGUACAUCCUUGAUUAAUAGCGGAGUUAUGACCCUUUGUAUUUGAAAAAAAUGCUUUUUUUGUGUGUCCAGAGCCAUAACUUGUAUCCAGAAGUAUAAUGGCGGGGGAUAUCAAUUCAACGAAUUUGCUUGUUAAAUCAGUUUUUAUUUUCAUGAUAAUCAUUUAGUUCGUACUGCAACUUAUGAUGGAUUGUUACUACUAUCUCCAAUUAUUUGUUUGUCAUGGGUCCGUCACCAUUUAUCUCUUAUAUAAUACUUGAAUUGAGCAUUUCACAAUCUGACAAUCAUGCAUAUCAUUUAUUAGUUUCAUAAUAAAACGUCUGACAAGGGUCAGAUAAUUUUAA
Molecule: long non-coding RNA, 4247 nt
Organism: Dreissena polymorpha
Lineage: Eukaryota; Metazoa; Mollusca; Bivalvia; Myida; Dreissenidae
Exons: 2
Source: RefSeq, a predicted model, not a curated record